This 279-nucleotide ribosomal RNA is filed under the name uncultured bacterium. RNAcentral describes it as "partial 16S ribosomal RNA". It matches the Rfam family "Bacterial small subunit ribosomal RNA", at positions 506 to 784 of the family's 1533-position model. The record is from RNAcentral.
UGCCAGCAGCCGCGGUAAUACGGAGGGUGCAAGCGUUAAUCGGAAUUACUGGGCGUAAAGCGCACGCAGGCGGUUUGUUAAGUCAGAUGUGAAAUCCCCGGGCUCAACCUGGGAACUGCAUCUGAUACUGGCAAGCUUGAGUCUCGUAGAGGGGGGUAGAAUUCCAGGUGUAGCGGUGAAAUGCGUAGAGAUCUGGGGGAAUACCGGUGGCGAAGGCGGCCCCCUGGACGAAGACUGACGCUCAGGUGCGAAAGCGUGGGGAGCAAACAGGAUUAGAUA